RNAcentral lists this ribosomal RNA (449 nucleotides) under uncultured bacterium. RNAcentral describes it as "bacterial SSU rRNA". It matches the Rfam family "Bacterial small subunit ribosomal RNA", at positions 359 to 820 of the family's 1533-position model. The record is from RNAcentral.
GAAUUUUCCGCAAUGGGCGAAAGCCUGACGGAGCAAUACCGCGUGAGGGAAGACUGCCUAUGGGUUGUAAACCUCUUUUUUCAGGGAGGAAUAAAAUGACGUGUACCUGAAGAAUAAGCAUCGGCUAACUCCGUGCCAGCAGCCGCGGUAAGACGGAGGAUGCAAGUGUUAUCCGGAAUCACUGGGCGUAAAGCGUCUGUAGGUGGUUUAAUAAGUCAACUGUUAAAUCUUGAGGCUCAACUUCAAAAUCGCAGUCGAAACUAUUAGACUAGAGUAUAGUAGGGGUAAAGGGAAUUUCCAGUGGAGCGGUGAAAUGCGUAGAUAUUGGAAAGAACACCGAUGGCGAAAGCACUUUACUGGGCUAUUACUAACACUCAGAGACGAAAGCUAGGGUAGCAAAUGGGAUUAGAUACCCCAGUAGUCCUAGCCCGUAAACUAUGGAUACUAGA